This 460-nucleotide ribosomal RNA is filed under the name uncultured bacterium. RNAcentral's name for it is "bacterial SSU rRNA". It matches the Rfam family "Bacterial small subunit ribosomal RNA", at positions 15 to 518 of the family's 1533-position model. The record is from RNAcentral.
GAUUCUGGCUCAGAACGAACGCUGGCGGCAGGCUUAACACAUGCAAGUCGAACGGUUGCAGCAAUGCAGCAGUGGCAGACGGGUGAGUAACACGUGGGAACCUUCCUAGGGGUACGGAACAACUCAGGGAAACUUGAGCUAAUACCGUAUACGUCCGUGAGGAGAAAGAUUUAUCGCCCUUAGACGGGCCCGCGUCGGAUUAGCUAGUUGGUGGGGUAACGGCCUACCAAGGCGACGAUCCGUAGCUGAUCUUAGAGGAUGAUCAGCCACACUGGGACUGAGACACGGCCCAGACUCCUACGGGAGGCAGCAGUGGGGAAUCUUGGACAAUGGGCGCAAGCCUGAUCCCAGCCAUGCCGCGUGAGUGAAGAAGGUCUUCGGAUUGUAAAGCUCUUUUGCCAGGGACGAUAAUGACGGUACCUGGAGAAUAAGCCCCGGCAAACUUCGUGCCAGCCGCCGC